This 494-nucleotide ribosomal RNA is filed under the name uncultured bacterium. Its description in RNAcentral is "partial 16S ribosomal RNA". It matches the Rfam family "Bacterial small subunit ribosomal RNA", at positions 28 to 507 of the family's 1533-position model. The record is from RNAcentral.
GACGAACGCUGGCGGCGUGCUUAACACAUGCAAGUCGAACGGAAAGGCCUGCUUUCCCUUGUGGAUUGCGGGUACUCGAGUGGCGAACGGGUGAGUAACACGUGAGUGAUCUGCCCCCAACUUGGGUAUAAGCCUGGGAAACUGGGUCUAAUUCCCGAUAGGACUGCAGGGUGGUGCCUGUGGUGGAAAACGAUUUUCUAGUGGUUGGGGAUGAGCUCGCGGCCUAUCAGCUUGUUGGUGGGGUAAUGGCCUACCAAGGCGGCGACGGGUAGCCGGCCUGAGAGGGUGGACGGUCACAUUGAGACAGAGACACGGCCCAGACUCCUACGGGAGGCAGCAGUGGGGAAUAAUGGACAAUGGGCGGAAGCCUGAUGCAGCGACGCCGCGUGGGGGAUGACGGCCUUCGGGUUGUAAACUCCUUUCGACCGCGAGGAAGCCACCUGGUUGGAAGGGUGGUGACGGUAGUGGUAGAAGAAGCACCGGCUAACUACGUG